AGUGAACGCUGGCGGUAGGCCUAACACAUGCAAGUCGAACGGCAGCACAGGAGAGCUUGCUCUCUGGGUGGCGAGUGGCGGACGGGUGAGGAAUACAUCGGAAUCUACUCUGUCGUGGGGGAUAACGUAGGGAAACUUACGCUAAUACCGCAUACGACCUACGGAUGAAAGCAGGGGAUCUUCGGACCUUGCGCGAUUGAAUGAGCCGAUGUCGGAUUAGCUAGUUGGCGGGGUAAAGGCCCACCAAGGCGACGAUCCGUAGCUGGUCUGAGAGGAUGAUCAGCCACACUGGAACUGAGACACGGUCCAGACUCCUACGGGAGGCAGCAGUGGGGAAUAUUGGACAAUGGGCGCAAGCCUGAUCCAGCCAUACCGCGUGGGUGAAGAAGGCCUUCGGGUUGUAAAGCCCUUUUGUUGGGAAAGAAAUCCAGCUGGCUAAUACCCGGUUGGGAUGACGGUACCCAAAGAAUAAGCACCGGCUAACUUCAUGCCAGCAGCCGCCGCAG
Molecule: ribosomal RNA, 506 nt
Filed under: uncultured bacterium
Lineage: Bacteria
Description: partial 16S ribosomal RNA
Rfam family: Bacterial small subunit ribosomal RNA
Source: RNAcentral